This 497-nucleotide ribosomal RNA is filed under the name uncultured bacterium. Its description in RNAcentral is "partial 16S ribosomal RNA". It matches the Rfam family "Bacterial small subunit ribosomal RNA", at positions 28 to 507 of the family's 1533-position model. The record is from RNAcentral.
GAUGAACGCUGGCGGCGUGCCUAAUACAUGCAAGUCGAGCGAACGGACGAGAAGCUUGCUUCUCUGAUGUUAGCGGCGGACGGGUGAGUAACACGUGUAUAACCUACCUAUAAGACUGGGAUAACUUCGGGAAACCGGAGCUAAUACCGGAUAAUAUUUUGAACCGCAUGGUUCAAAAGUGAAAGACGGUCUUGCUGUCACUUAUAGAUGGAUCCGCGCUGCAUUAGCUAGUUGGUAAGGUAACGGCUUACCAAGGCAACGAUGCGUAGCCGACCUGAGAGGGUGGUCGGCCACACUGGAACUGAGACACGGUCCAGACUCCUACGGGAGGCAGCAGUAGGGAAUCUUCCACAAUGGGCGAAAGCCUGACGGAGCAACGCCGCGUGAGUGAUGAAGGUCUUCGGAUCGUAAAGCUCUGUUACUAGGGAAGAACAGAUGUGUAAGUAACUGUGCACAUCUUGACGGUACCUAAUCAGAAAGCCACGGCUAACUACGUG